UGAUGUAUUAUUUCAUUCAACGGCUGUGUGAUGACCCAGCUGAUCCAAUCUUCAUCCUGAUC
This 62-nucleotide small nucleolar RNA is filed under the name Euglena gracilis. RNAcentral's name for it is "Eg-m7 box C/D methylation-guide snoRNA". Lineage: Eukaryota; Euglenozoa; Euglenophyceae; Euglenales; Euglenaceae. The record is from RNAcentral.